Molecule: ribosomal RNA, 1247 nt
Filed under: metagenome
Description: bacterial LSU rRNA
Rfam family: Bacterial large subunit ribosomal RNA
Source: RNAcentral
GAUACGACCGUACCGCAAACCGACACUGGUGCGCGAGAUGAGUAUUCUAAGGCGCUUGAGAGAACUCAGGAGAAGGAACUCGGCAAAUUGACACCGUAACUUCGGAAGAAGGUGUGCCCUAUUAGUGUGUAGUGAACAACGAAGCAUGAAUGGGUUGCAAAAAAUCGGUGGCUGCGACUGUUUAUUAAAAACACAGCACUCUGCAAACACGAAAGUGGACGUAUAGGGUGUGACGCCUGCCCGGUGCUGGAAGAUUAAAUGAUGGGGUGCAAGCUCUUGAUUGAAGUCCCAGUAAACGGCGGCCGUAACAAUAACGGUCCUAAGGUAGCGAAAUUCCUUGUCGGGUAAGUUCCGACCUGCACGAAUGGCGUAACGAUGGCCACACUGUCUCCUCCUGAGACUCAGCGAAGUUGAAAUGUUUGUGAUGAUGCAAUCUCCCCGCGGAAAGACGGAAAGACCCCAUGAACCUUUACUGUAGCUUUGUAUUGGACUUUGAACAGAUCUGUGUAGGAUAGGUGGGAGGCUUUGAAGCAGGGUCGCUAGAUCUUGUGGAGCCAACGUUGAAAUACCACCCUGGUGCGUUUGAGGUUCUAACCUAGGUCCAUUAUCUGGAUCGGGGACAGUGCAUGGUAGGCAGUUUGACUGGGGCGGUCUCCUCCCAAAGCGUAACGGAGGAGUUCGAAGGUACGCUAGUUACGGUCGGACAUCGUGACGAUAGUGCAAUGGCAUAAGCGUGCUUAACUGCGAGACUGACAAGUCGAGCAGAUGCGAAAGCAGGACAUAGUGAUCCGGUGGUUCUGUAUGGAAGGGCCAUCGCUCAACGGAUAAAAGGUACUCUGGGGAUAACAGGCUGAUACCGCCCAAGAGUUCAUAUCGACGGCGGUGUUUGGCACCUCGAUGUCGGCUCAUCUCAUCCUGGGGCUGUAGCCGGUCCCAAGGGUAUGGCUGUUCGCCAUUUAAAGAGGUACGUGAGCUGGGUUUAAAACGUCGUGAGACAGUUUGGUCCCUAUCUUCCGUGGGCGCUGCAGAUUUGAGGAAGCCUGCUCCUAGUACGAGAGGACCGGAGUGGACACACCUCUGGUGUAUCGGUUGUCACGCCAGUGGCAUUGCCGAGUAGCUAAGUGUGGAAGAGAUAACCGCUGAAAGCAUCUAAGCGGGAAACUCGUUUCAAGAUGAGAUCUGCCGGGGCCUUGAGCCCCCUAAAGAGUCGUUCAAGACCAGGACGUUGAUAGGUCAGGUGUGGAAGC